CCAGACUCCUACGGGAGGCAGCAGUGGGGAAUAUUGGGCAAUGGGCGCAAGCCUGACCCAGCAACGCCGCGUGAAGGAAGAAGGCUUUCGGGUUGUAAACUUCUUUUCUCAGGGACGAAGCAAGUGACGGUACCUGAGGAAUAAGCCACGGCUAACUACGUGCCAGCAGCCGCGGUAAUACGUAGGUGGCAAGCGUUAUCCGGAUUUACUGGGUGUAAAGGGCGUGUAGGCGGGACUGCAAGUCAGAUGUGAAAACCACGGGCUCAACCUGUGGCCUGCAUUUGAAACUGUAGUUCUUGAGUACUGGAGAGGCAGACGGAAUUCCUAGUGUAGCGGUGAAAUGCGUAGAUAUUAGGAGGAACACCAGUGGCGAAGGCGGCCUGCUGGGCUUUUACUGACGCUGAGGCUCGAAAGUGUGGGGAGCAAACAGGAUUAGAUACCCUGGUAGU
This 449-nucleotide ribosomal RNA is filed under the name uncultured bacterium. RNAcentral's name for it is "bacterial SSU rRNA". It matches the Rfam family "Bacterial small subunit ribosomal RNA", at positions 331 to 794 of the family's 1533-position model. The record is from RNAcentral.